RNAcentral lists this ribosomal RNA (253 nucleotides) under uncultured bacterium. RNAcentral describes it as "partial 16S ribosomal RNA". It matches the Rfam family "Archaeal small subunit ribosomal RNA", at positions 474 to 727 of the family's 1478-position model. The record is from RNAcentral.
UACCAGCACCCCGAGUGGUCGGGACGAUUAUUGGGCCUAAAGCAUCCGUAGCCGGUCUUGCAAGUCUUCCGUUAAAUCCAGCUGCUUAACAGAUGGGCUGCGGAAGAUACUACAAGACUAGGAGGUGGGAGAGGCAAGCGGUACUCAGUGGGUAGGGGUAAAAUCCGUUGAUCCAUUGAAGACCACCAGUGGCGAAGGCGGCUUGCCAGAACGCACUCGACGGUGAGGGAUGAAAGCUGGGGGAGCAAACCGG